UGCAAGUCGAGCGGGCGUAGCAAUACGUCAGCGGCAGACGGGUGAGUAACGCGUGGGAACGUACCUUUUGGUUCGGAACAACACAGGGAAACUUGUGCUAAUACCGGAUAAGCCCUUACGGGGAAAGAUUUAUCGCCGAAAGAUCGGCCCGCGUCUGAUUAGCUAGUUGGUGAGGUAAUGGCUCACCAAGGCGACGAUCAGUAGCUGGUCUGAGAGGAUGAUCAGCCACAUUGGGACUGAGACACGGCCCAAACUCCUACGGGAGGCAGCAGUGGGGAAUAUUGGACAAUGGGGGCAACCCUGAUCCAGCCAUGCCGCGUGAGUGAUGAAGGCCCUAGGGUUGUAAAGCUCUUUUGUGCGGGAAGAUAAUGACGGUACCGCAAGAAUAAGCCCCGGCUAACUUCGUGCCAGCAGCCGCGGUAAUACGAAGGGGGCUAGCGUUGCUCGGAAUCACUGGGCGUAAAGGGUGCGUAGGCGGGUCUUUAAGUCAGGGGUGAAAUCCUGGAGCUCAACUCCAGAACUGCCUUUGAUACUGAGGAUCUUGAGUUCGGGAGAGGUGAGUGGAACUGCGAGUGUAGAGGUGAAAUUCGUAGAUAUUCGCAAGAACACCAGUGGCGAAGGCGGCUCACUG
RNAcentral lists this ribosomal RNA (631 nucleotides) under Bradyrhizobium japonicum. RNAcentral's name for it is "bacterial SSU rRNA". It matches the Rfam family "Bacterial small subunit ribosomal RNA", at positions 56 to 731 of the family's 1533-position model. Lineage: Bacteria; Pseudomonadati; Pseudomonadota; Alphaproteobacteria; Hyphomicrobiales; Nitrobacteraceae. The record is from RNAcentral.